This 486-nucleotide ribosomal RNA is filed under the name uncultured bacterium. RNAcentral's name for it is "partial 16S ribosomal RNA". It matches the Rfam family "Bacterial small subunit ribosomal RNA", at positions 30 to 507 of the family's 1533-position model. The record is from RNAcentral.
AUUGAACGCUGGCGGCAUGCCUUACACAUGCAAGUCGAACGGCAGCACGGGUGCUUGCCCCUGGUGGCGAGUGGAGAACGGGUGAGUAAUACAUCGGAACAUGUCCUGUAGUGGGGGAUAGCCCGGCGAAAGCCGGAUUAAUACCGCAUACGAUCUACGGAUGAAAGCGGGGGACCUUCGGGCCUCGUGCUAUAGGGUUGGCCGAUGGCUGAUUAGCUAGUUGGUGGGGUAAAGGCCUACCAAGGCGACGAUCAGUAGCUGGUCUGAGAGGACGACCAGCCACACUGGGACUGAGACACGGCCCAGACUCCUACGGGAGGCAGCAGUGGGGAAUUUUGGACAAUGGGCGAAAGCCUGAUCCAGCAAUGCCGCGUGUGUGAAGAAGGCCUUCGGGUUGUAAAGCACUUUUGUCCGGAAAGAAAUCCUUGGCCCUAAUACGGUCGGGGGAUGACGGUACCGGAAGAAUAAGCACCGGCUAACUACGUG